Long non-coding RNA from Oncorhynchus tshawytscha (Chinook salmon), 2346 nucleotides. The record is from Ensembl. NCBI's taxonomy places the organism in Eukaryota, Metazoa, Chordata, Actinopteri, Salmoniformes, Salmonidae.
CAGAGGCAAAUGAUACAACAGGAUAAAUAAAUGUGCUCAGAAAUGUACGACGUUGUGCGCAAUAAGGAACGUGUCACCAUAGAAAUAGAAUCUACAUUAGAAUUCCGUGCUCGUCACAAUGUCCAAUUAACAUACAUUUGAAUUCCUAAUUCUAUGUGUAUUACUCAGAGGUGAAGUUAUUCACAAUCACAACCAACCUACAGAAUAUCAAUAGCAAACGCGAAUUCUUCAUUCAAGUCAAUCAAAAAUCGUAUAUGUUUUCCUGUUCUCAGUAAGAAAAUGCUCAAGAGGCAAUUCCGUACACUGAAAGCCCAGGGAAGACUCCCGCUAGACCUCCCUCUGAGACCAAUGAAGGCCUGGCUCCUGGCAGGGAAAAGAGUCUUCUUGGAGCGUGAGACAGAGACAUGGAAGAGAUGGAGGAAAGUCUGUGUAGCUGAAUUGACUUGGGAUGCAAAGAGGGGCCUGGAAUUACAGGAGACAGAGAGAGUUCUCCUGGUCAGUUGCCAGAGAGUUCAGGAUGAAUUAAGGAUGUCUGAUUUCACCGUGGACACGGCGCCCAACGAAGCCAUCCAGCUUCUGAAAGAGGAGUGUUGGAAGUUGAACUUCUUGCACCUAAAGGAUGAGACAUGCCAGGCCACUGAGCUCCCUGAGCUGUAUGGGCAUUCUGAGACCUCUUCAAAGGAAACUCUAAUUGAAGAGAAAAGUCCAAAGACCAAGUGCCCGUCCAGCGUCGCUGGGGCUGCUGACAUUGACAACACCAAUGAGGAGGAUUCAGAGGAGUCUCCGGAUAACAAUGUGGUGGACUUUCAGGAUGAGCCGCUGGCCCUGGUCAGUGUGGAGAAAGACGCUGCUGGAGAUGGAAAGGUCCUCAGCAAGGUGGUGAAGCCCAAAGGAUGUCUGAAGGAGAGCUGCAAAGAUCAGCUAACCCCAACAAUCUAUGAUAUGAUUACGGAACUACCAAAGUCCUAUUUCGGAUCCACUGAGAGCCUUCCUGAGAUGUGUAGCAGAGGUCCUGAGGUGUGCAGUGGAGUGCCUGGGGUGAGUAACAGAGGUCCAAAGGUGUGCAGUGGAGCGCCUGAGGUGCCAAAUGCAGUGGGAGAGGUGUCAAGUGACACAAAGAAGACAGAGGCAACUGGAGACCUUCUGAACACUGGAAACGGCCUGAGAAAGGUGGUGCAGCUAUCCACCGAGAGCCAUGCUGAGGUGUGCAAUGGAGAGGCUGAGCUGUGCAGUGGUCCUGAGGUGUGCAGCAGAGGUCCUGAGGUGUGCAGCGGAGGUCCUGAGGUGUGCAGCGGUGGUCCUGAGGUGUGCAGCGGAGGUCCUGAGGUGUGCAGCAGAGGUCCUGAGGUGUGCAGCAGAGGUCCUGAGGUGUGCAGCAGAGGUCCUGAGGUGUGCAGUGGAGGUCCUGAGGUGUGCAGCGGAGGUCCUGAGGUGUCAAACGCAGUGGAAGAGGUGUCCAGUGACACAAAGACUACAGAGGCUGCUGAAGACCUUCUGGACACUGGAAAUGUCCUCAGCAAGGUGGUGAACCCCAAAGGGUGGCUGAAGCAGGACUGGGAUGAUCAGCUGAACAGAGACGUCAAUGAUAUGAUUGCAAAUCUCCCAAAGCCCUAUUUCGGAUCCAUCGAGAGCCUUCCUGAGGUGUGCAGCAGAGGUCCUGAGGUGUCAAACGAAGUGGAAGAGGUGUGCAGUGACACAAUGAAGAUAGAGGCUACAGGAAAUCUUCUGAAAACUGGAAAUGGCCUAAGCAAGGUGGUGCUCCUAUCCACUGAGAGCCGUCCUGAUGUGUGCAUUAGAGUGCCUGAGGUGUUCAGUGGAGGCCCAGAGGUAUGCAGUGAAAUGCCUGAAGUGUACAGUGGAUGUCCUGAGGUGUUCAUUGGAGUCCCUGAGGUGUCAAACCCAGUGGAAGAGGUGUCCAGUGAUACAAAGACAGAGGCUGCUGAAGAACUUCGGGACACUGAAAAUGACCUCAGCAAGGUGGUGAAAUCCAAAGGGUGGCUGAAGGAGGGCUGGGAAGAUCAGCUGACCAAAGACUUCAAUGAUAUGAUUGCAAGACUCCCAAAGUCCUAUUUUGGAUCCAACGAGAGCCUUCCUGAGGUGUGCAGCGGAGUGCCCGAGGUGUCGAACGCAGUGGAAGUGGUGCGCAGUGACACAAAGAAGCAGAAGAAAAAUGGUGUUCUACGAUGUUUCCGACGUGUGUGGAAGUUCUUCACAUGCACCAGCAGCCUCCCCAAAGAGGAGUGACUCAAGCACACACAACUCUGGGCAACACUUUCUCCUCCAUCUCCCCCUUUCCUUCCAACUGGCUCCUUUUAAUAAUACAAAUAAAGGGGAUCUGAACCACAA